AUGGAGCGGCAGGGCGACUCGAGGCGGCCUCUGCCGAGGCGCGGGCAGGUGAAGGCGAGCAUAUUCGCGUGCCUCUUCCCGUGCCUCGCCCGCAACCGCAAGGCGGCCGGCGGCGAGCGGAAGGAGGGCAAGGCCAGGGCCAAGGAAGGCGGCAGCGGCGGCCGCCGCGUCGCGCCCGGUGGUUGA
Molecule: ribosomal RNA, 186 nt
Filed under: Triticum aestivum (bread wheat)
Lineage: Eukaryota; Viridiplantae; Streptophyta; Magnoliopsida; Poales; Poaceae
Description: partial small subunit ribosomal RNA
Source: RNAcentral